AUUGAACGCUGGCGGCAGGCCUAACACAUGCAAGUCGAGCGGAUGAAGGGAGCUUGCUCCUGGAUUCAGCGGCGGACGGGUGAGUAAUGCCUAGGAAUCUGCCUGGUAGUGGGGGAUAACGUCCGGAAACGGGCGCUAAUACCGCAUACGUCCUGAGGGAGAAAGUGGGGGAUCUUCGGACCUCACGCUAUCAGAUGAGCCUAGGUCGGAUUAGCUAGUUGGUGGGGUAAAGGCCUACCAAGGCGACGAUCCGUAACUGGUCUGAGAGGAUGAUCAGUCACACUGGAACUGAGACACGGUCCAGACUCCUACGGGAGGCAGCAGUGGGGAAUAUUGGACAAUGGGCGAAAGCCUGAUCCAGCCAGGCCGCGUGUGUGAAGAAGGUCUUCGGAUUGUAAAGCACUUUAAGUGGGGAGGAAGGGCAGUAAGUUAAUACCUUGCUGUUUUGACGGUACCAACAGAAUAAGCACCGGCUAACUUCGUG
RNAcentral lists this ribosomal RNA (484 nucleotides) under uncultured bacterium. RNAcentral describes it as "partial 16S ribosomal RNA". It matches the Rfam family "Bacterial small subunit ribosomal RNA", at positions 30 to 507 of the family's 1533-position model. The record is from RNAcentral.